UCCCCGAUAGUAUAAUGGUUAGUAUGCCGCGUUGUCAUCGCGGUGGCCCGGGUUCGAUUCCCGGUCGGGGAG
Molecule: non-coding RNA, 72 nt
Organism: Octopus sinensis (East Asian common octopus)
Lineage: Eukaryota; Metazoa; Mollusca; Cephalopoda; Octopoda; Octopodidae
Source: the annotation of a RefSeq genome assembly